This is a non-coding RNA of Gasterosteus aculeatus aculeatus (three-spined stickleback), 957 nucleotides long. NCBI's taxonomy places the organism in Eukaryota, Metazoa, Chordata, Actinopteri, Perciformes, Gasterosteidae. The record is from RefSeq and is a predicted model, not a curated record.
CAAGUGGAAAGUGGAGCAGUGGAACACGGAUGCAUAAAGAGCUGAGACGCCUGCCCCACAUUUAGCUUUCAAGCCCUCACUGCUACACCGCUAAAUGAUUCAGAAGUCAUCUCUUCUGAGGCGUAUUAAUAUCAACAUAAGUACUUUACAACCACAAAGCUCAAUGCGGCUGAAAAGGUCACCAUGGAGACUUCUAUUAGAUCGCACGUUCUUAUCUUUCUUUUUGUAUUGCUAUGGUUGCACACACCCGUUCAGCUUCUUUUCUAGGCAUGACUUUGCUUUUUCUUCCCUUGUGAUGCACCCUGACCUGCAGUCGGCUCCCAUCGAGUCAGGGAUUUCUGCUCUCGAGACGUAAUGUUCACCGUGACGCAACAGUGGGACCUUUUUGUAGCUUUCUCUCGUGACCUUCUGAUCUGAUGCACCUGAGAGCCAUCGCCACGUCUCCCCGCAGGCUACCUGAUCCAUGAGGCCUGCUGGAUCCACGGCUGGGAAACGCCGACCGAGAGACAAAUGUGUAUAAUCAUCCUAAAACCGGUGCAAUGCUGGACGAUGCUAAUAUUGAUCAGGGUAAAAAUGGUAAAUUGUGGGUUGUGCCUCUGCAUAAAAAAGAGCAAUAGUUGUAAAAUGCUUUUUCCUGGGUUGAUUUUUUGUUAAUGUGUUGAAUAUGAAUGAGGAAAGAUGCAAGAUACUCUUUAAAUGCAUUUAAAGAGUAUCUUCCUGUAAGAUCUCAUAAGUGACCUGUACUUUCUUUAUAAAACGUGGCUGAAGUCAUGUGUUGUAUCAUAAAUGGAAGAUGUGUGUCUCGGGUUUAUGUUGUGAAUGCAAAAAAAAAAAAGAGCAAUCAAAGGCAACUGUGUGCUGUUGUGUUCUUCUGAAUCGUGUCUCUCACUUGUACUUAACAAGUGUGUCUGAUUCGCUGAUGAUUUAUUAAAAAGAAGCUCGUUUGUAUAAUAAUGA